GACGAACGCUGGCGGCGUGCUUAACACAUGCAAGUCGAACGAUGAUCCGGAGCUUGCGCCUGUUAUUAGUGGCGAACGGGUGAGUAACACGCGAGUAACCUGCCCCUGACUCUGGGAUAAGCGUUGGAAACGACGUCUAAUACUGGAUAUGAUCACUGGCCGCAUGGUCUGGUGGUGGAAAGGUUUUUUGGUUGGGGAUGGACUCGCGGCCUAUCAGCUUGUUGGUGAGGUAAUGGCUCACCAAGGCGACGACGGGUAGCCGGCCUGAGAGGGUGACCGGCCACACUGGGACUGAGACACGGCCCAGACUCCUACGGGAGGCAGCAGUGGGGAAUAUUGCACAAUGGGCGAAAGCCUGAUGCAGCAACGCCGCGUGAGGGAUGACGGCCUUCGGGUUGUAAACCUCUUUUAGUAGGGAAGAAGCGAAAGUGACGGUACCUGCAGAAAAAGCACCGGCUAACUACGUG
RNAcentral lists this ribosomal RNA (467 nucleotides) under uncultured bacterium. Its description in RNAcentral is "partial 16S ribosomal RNA". It matches the Rfam family "Bacterial small subunit ribosomal RNA", at positions 28 to 507 of the family's 1533-position model. The record is from RNAcentral.